RNAcentral lists this ribosomal RNA (926 nucleotides) under Salmonella enterica subsp. enterica serovar Kentucky. Its description in RNAcentral is "bacterial LSU rRNA". It matches the Rfam family "Bacterial large subunit ribosomal RNA", at positions 646 to 1575 of the family's 2925-position model. The record is from RNAcentral. Lineage: Bacteria; Pseudomonadati; Pseudomonadota; Gammaproteobacteria; Enterobacterales; Enterobacteriaceae.
UUAACCGAAUAGGGGAGCCGGAGGGAAACCGAGUCUUAAUUGGGCGUUAAGUUGCAGGGUAUAGACCCGAAACCCGGUGAUCUAGCCAUGGGCAGGUUGAAGGUUGGGUAACACUAACUGGAGGACCGAACCGACUAAUGUUGAAAAAUUAGCGGAUGACUUGUGGCUGGGGGUGAAAGGCCAAUCAAACCGGGAGAUAGCUGGUUCUCCCCGAAAGCUAUUUAGGUAGCGCCUCGUGAACUCAUCUUCGGGGGUAGAGCACUGUUUCGGCUAGGGGGUCAUCCCGACUUACCAACCCGAUGCAAACUGCGAAUACCGAAGAAUGUUAUCACGGGAGACACACGGCGGGUGCUAACGUCCGUCGUGAAGAGGGAAACAACCCAGACCGCCAGCUAAGGUCCCAAAGUCACAGUUAAGUGGGAAACGAUGUGGGAAGGCCCAGACAGCCAGGAUGUUGGCUUAGAAGCAGCCAUCAUUUAAAGAAAGCGUAAUAGCUCACUGGUCGAGUCGGCCUGCGCGGAAGAUGUAACGGGGCUAAACCAUGCACCGAAGCUGCGGCAGCGACGCUGAUGCGUUGUUGGGUAGGGGAGCGUUCUGUAAGCCUGUGAAGGUGGCCUGUGAGGGUUGCUGGAGGUAUCAGAAGUGCGAAUGCUGACAUAAGUAACGAUAAAGCGGGUGAAAAGCCCGCUCGCCGGAAGACCAAGGGUUCCUGUCCAACGUUAAUCGGGGCAGGGUGAGUCGACCCCUAAGGCGAGGCCGAAAGGCGUAGUCGAUGGGAAACGGGUUAAUAUUCCCGUACUUGGUGUUACUGCGAAGGGGGGACGGAGAAGGCUAUGUUGGCCGGGCGACGGUUGUCCCGGUUUAAGCGUGUAGGCUGGUUUUCCAGGCAAAUCCGGAAAAUCAAGGCUGAGGCGUGAUGACGAGGC